Molecule: long non-coding RNA, 979 nt
Filed under: Phasianus colchicus (ring-necked pheasant)
Lineage: Eukaryota; Metazoa; Chordata; Aves; Galliformes; Phasianidae
Description: lncRNA (ENSPCLG00000018937.1)
Source: RNAcentral
GGACAAUGGGGGCGGUGUGGGGUUAUGGGGGGACAUUACGGGGAUACGGGGAGAUGUGGGGAUAUGGGGCCACCGUGGGGCCGCCAUAGGGCCGCCAUAGGGCCGCUAUAGGGACGCAAUGGGGAAGGUGCAGUAGCGCGGUGCGGACAGCAGGGGGCGCUGUGGGGUCGCACCUGCUCGUACCAGGCGGCGACGCAGGCCUCCAUGUAGGCGUAGCUGGUAAAGAAGGCGACGACGCCGUCCGGAACCACAGAGCACAGCUCCAGCAGCAGCUGCCCGCAGUUCCGCGUCACCGCUGUGAACGAACAGCGCCCCCUUGAGCCGCGGGAAUCCAAACCGCGGACACGGUCCUCCGAGCCACACAAAAGGUCCUCCAACACCUAGAAACGGUCCUCCGAACCACACGCAAGGUCCUCCAAGCCGCAGCCGAGGUCCUCCAAAUACAGCUGUGGUCCUCCAACCCACGGACAUGGUCCUCCAACCCACGGACAUAGUCCUCCAACCCACAGCCAUGGUCCUCCGAGCCACACAAAAGGUCCUCCAAGCCACAGCCGAGGUCCUCCAAGCCACAGCCGAGGUCCUCCAACACACAGCCGUGGUCCUCCAACCCACACACAAGGUCCCCCAACCACAGCUGUGGUCCUCCAGGCCACAGCCGAGGUCCUCCAACACACAGCCAUGGUCCUCCAACCCACGGACAUGGUCCUCCAACCCACUCCUGUGGUCCUCCAAGUCACAGCCGAGGUCCUCCAACGCACACACAAGGUCCUCCAAACACAGCCAUGGUCCUCCAACCCACGGACAUAGUCCUCCAACCCACUCCUGUGGUCCUCCAAGCCGCAGCCGAGGUCCUCCAACUCACACACAAGGUCCUCCAAACACAGCUGUGGUCCUCCAACCCACAGCCACAGUCCUCCAACCCACACACAAGGUCCUCCAACCCACAGCUGUGGUCCUCCAAGCCACUCCAGCACUCCUC